Molecule: ribosomal RNA, 76 nt
Filed under: Bacillus subtilis
Lineage: Bacteria; Bacillati; Bacillota; Bacilli; Caryophanales; Bacillaceae
Also listed under: 2 other names
Source: RNAcentral
UUUGGUGGCGAUAGCGAAGAGGUCACACCCGUUCCCAUACCGAACACGGAAGUUAAGCUCUUCAGCGCCGAUGGUA